This 253-nucleotide ribosomal RNA is filed under the name uncultured bacterium. Its description in RNAcentral is "partial 16S ribosomal RNA". It matches the Rfam family "Bacterial small subunit ribosomal RNA", at positions 524 to 776 of the family's 1533-position model. The record is from RNAcentral.
UACGAAGGGUGCAAACGUUGCUCGGAAUCAUUGGGCGUAAAGCGCACGUAGGCGGCUUCAAAAGUCGGAUGUGAAAUCCCUCGGCUCAACCGAGGACGUGCAUCCGAAACUGCGGAGCUUGAGUAUGGAAGAGGGUCGCGGAAUCCCCGGUGUAGAGGUGAAAUUCGUAGAUAUCGGGGGGAACACCAGUGGCGAAGGCGGCGACCUGGGCCAAUACUGACGCUGAGGUGCGAAAGCGUGGGGAGCAAACAGG